AUCUGCCAUCAGGUCUGGGACAACCACUGGAAACGGUGGCUAAUACCGGAUGUGCCCUUCGGGGUGAAAGGUUAACUGCCUGUUGAUGAGCUCGCGUCUGAUUAGCUAGUUGGUGUGGUAAGAGCGCACCAAGGCGACGAUCAGUAGCUGGUCUGAGAGGACGAUCAGCCACACUGGGACUGAGACACGGCCCAGACUCCUACGGGAGGCAGCAGUGGGGAAUUUUCCGCAAUGGGCGAAAGCCUGACGGAGCAAUACCGCGUGAGGGAGGAAGGCUCUUGGGUCGUAAACCUCUUUUCUCAGGGAAGAACACAAUGACGGUACCUGAGGAAUAAGCAUCGGCUAACUCCGUGCCAGCAGCCGCGGUAAUACGGAGGAUGCAAGCGUUAUCCGGAAUGAUUGGGCGUAAAGCGUCCGCAGGUGGCUAUGUAAGUCUGCUGUUAAAGAGUCUAGCUCAACUAGAUAAGAGCAGUGGAAACUACAAGGCUAGAGUGCGUUCGGGGCAGAGGGAAUUCCUGGUGUAGCGGUGAAAUGCGUAGAGAUCAGGAAGAACACCAGUGGCGAAGGCGCUCUGCUAGGCCGCAACUGACACUGAGGGACGAAAGCUAGGGGAGCGAAUGGGAUUA
Molecule: ribosomal RNA, 626 nt
Filed under: Nostoc sp. 'Lobaria pulmonaria cyanobiont'
Lineage: Bacteria; Bacillati; Cyanobacteriota; Cyanophyceae; Nostocales; Nostocaceae
Description: bacterial SSU rRNA
Rfam family: Bacterial small subunit ribosomal RNA
Source: RNAcentral